Lontra canadensis (Northern American river otter) is the source of this 320-nucleotide long non-coding RNA. RefSeq lists it as uncharacterized. The record is from RefSeq and is a predicted model, not a curated record. The transcript is spliced from 3 exons. NCBI's taxonomy places the organism in Eukaryota, Metazoa, Chordata, Mammalia, Carnivora, Mustelidae.
AGAGCCUGGCGAAGGGGAGCUGCCACGGAGACACCACCAGAGGGGGAAUGUGAAUCUUUUACCCAUCUAUUUAGGACUCCCGAAGACAGAGAUGAGCCUUCUGUUCCCAGUGAUCACCGGCCCCCAGAUGAAGCCAGCCUCAGGAUAAUAAACCAGCCUUGCACCAGGGUGGCGUGAUGACGGCCGAGGGCCACAUGGUGCCCCCAGAGUAAAGCAGCGUGCAGAUGAAAAUGGAGAGACACCUACCUCCCAGCCCGGCACCCCACCAAGUCUGUGUAGAUGGUCUGGAUCAGUAAUUAGAAACACGGUGCAAUAAAUAU